UGGGGAAUUUUGGACAAUGGGGGCAACCCUGAUCCAGCAAUGCCGCGUGUGUGAAGAAGGCCUUCGGGUUGUAAAGCACUUUUGUCCGGAAAGAAAUCCUCUGGGUUAAUACCUCGGGGGGAUGACGGUACCGGAAGAAUAAGCACCGGCUAACUACGUGCGAGCAGCCGCGGUAAUACGUAGGGUGCGAGCGUUAAUCGGAAUUACUGGGCGUAAAGCGUGCGCAGGCGGUUGUGCAAGACAGAUGUGAAAUCCCCGGGCUCAACCUGGGAAUUGCAUUUGUGACUGCACGGCUAGAGUGUGUCAGAGGGGGGUAGAAUUCCACGUGUAGCAGUGAAAUGCGUAGAGAUGUGGAGGAAUACCGAUGGCGAAGGCAGCCCCCUGGGAUAACACUGACGCUCAUGCACGAAAGCGUGGGGAGCAAAC
Molecule: ribosomal RNA, 426 nt
Filed under: uncultured bacterium
Lineage: Bacteria
Description: bacterial SSU rRNA
Rfam family: Bacterial small subunit ribosomal RNA
Source: RNAcentral